UGACCUCGAUCAAGUA
RNAcentral lists this ribosomal RNA (16 nucleotides) under uncultured Alternaria. RNAcentral's name for it is "partial 28S ribosomal RNA". Lineage: Eukaryota; Fungi; Ascomycota; Dothideomycetes; Pleosporales; Pleosporaceae. The record is from RNAcentral.